AACGAACGCUGGCGGCAUGCCUAACACAUGCAAGUCGAACGAGACCUUCGGGUCUAGUGGCGCACGGGUGCGUAACGCGUGGGAACCUGCCCUUAGGUUCGGAAUAACUCCCCGAAAGGGGUGCUAAUACCGGAUAAUGUCUUCGGACCAAAGAUUUAUUGCCUUUGGAUGGGCCUGCGUUGGAUUAGCUAGUUGGUAGGGUAAAAGCCUACCAAGGCGACGAUCCAUAGCUGGUCUGAGAGGAUGAUCAGCCACACCGGGACUGAGACACGGCCCAGACUCCUACGGGAGGCAGCAGUGGGGAAUAUUGGACAAUGGGCGAAAGCCUGAUCCAGCAAUGCCGCGUGAGUGAUGAAGGCCUUAGGGUUGUAAAGCUCUUUUACCCGUGAUGAUAAUGACAGUACCGGGAGAAUAAGCUCCGGCUAACUCCGUG
This 433-nucleotide ribosomal RNA is filed under the name uncultured bacterium. RNAcentral describes it as "partial 16S ribosomal RNA". It matches the Rfam family "Bacterial small subunit ribosomal RNA", at positions 29 to 507 of the family's 1533-position model. The record is from RNAcentral.